RNAcentral lists this ribosomal RNA (255 nucleotides) under uncultured bacterium. RNAcentral's name for it is "partial 16S ribosomal RNA". It matches the Rfam family "Bacterial small subunit ribosomal RNA", at positions 524 to 776 of the family's 1533-position model. The record is from RNAcentral.
UACAGAGGUGGCAAGCGUUGUUCGGAAUUACUGGGCGUAAAGGGCGAGUAGGUGGCCAUCUAAGUCAGACGUGAAAUCCCCCGGCUUAACCUGGGAACUGCGUCUGAUACUGGACGGCUUGAGUAUGGGAGAGGAACGUAGAAUUCCCGGUGUAGCGGUGAAAUGCGCAGAUAUCGGGAGGAACACCAGUAGCGAAGGCGGCUCGCUGGGCCGUUCCUGACGCUGAGACGCGAAAAGCUAGGGGGAGCGAACAGG